Molecule: non-coding RNA, 426 nt
Organism: Biomphalaria pfeifferi
Lineage: Eukaryota; Metazoa; Mollusca; Gastropoda; Planorbidae
Source: the annotation of a GenBank genome assembly
CACAAGUCACUUUAGUUACCAUGUAAGCUCUUCCAAAUCAAAUGUGAACAUUUCUUCCAUGUUAUGCAACAGUUGUGUUGGUGACACAUGGACAUGCGCAUUAGUCAAUGUAUUUAUAACUUAGAAAAUAUGAAUAGCUCUUGUUUAACUCUACAAUGCAAGUCUACUUGCACUUGAUUGGUAGAUUAUGUGAUAGAUAUAUUUACAACACAAGAUGGAGAACCAGAAAGACUUGUAUAGACAUUGGUUGGGGUAAGGGGAAGCUGAACACCAAGCCCCCCCUAUCAUGUCCAGACAACACAUCAAAUCACAAGACACCAAAGUAUUAUCUCUGUACAACUUGGGGGGAGCUGAACACCAAGCCCCCAUAUCAUGUGUCCAGACAACACAUCAAAUCACAAGACAUUAAAGUAUUAUCUCUGUACA